RNAcentral lists this ribosomal RNA (726 nucleotides) under uncultured bacterium. Its description in RNAcentral is "bacterial SSU rRNA". It matches the Rfam family "Bacterial small subunit ribosomal RNA", at positions 789 to 1515 of the family's 1533-position model. The record is from RNAcentral.
GGUAGUCCACGCCGUAAGCGAUGUCGACUUGGAGGUUGUGCCCUUGAGGCGUGGCUUCCGGAGCUAACGCGUUAAGUCGACCGCCUGGGGAGUACGGCCGCAAGGUUAAAACUCAAAUGAAUUGACGGGGGCCCGCACAAGCGGUGGAGCAUGUGGUUUAAUUCGAUGCAACGCGAAGAACCUUACCUACUCUUGACAUCCAGAGAACUUAGCAGAGAUGCUUUGGUGCCUUCGGGAACUCUGAGACAGGUGCUGCAUGGCUGUCGUCAGCUCGUGUUGUGAAAUGUUGGGUUAAGUCCCGCAACGAGCGCAACCCUUAUCCUUUGUUGCCAGCGGUUAGGCCGGGAACUCAAAGGAGACUGCCAGUGAUAAACUGGAGGAAGGUGGGGAUGACGUCAAGUCAUCAUGGCCCUUACGAGUAGGGCUACACACGUGCUACAAUGGCGCAUACAAAGAGAAGCGACCUCGCGAGAGCAAGCGGACCUCAUAAAGUGCGUCGUAGUCCGGAUUGGAGUCUGCAACUCGACUCCAUGAAGUCGGAAUCGCUAGUAAUCGUAGAUCAGAAUGCUACGGUGAAUACGUUCCCGGGCCUUGUACACACCGCCCGUCACACCAUGGGAGUGGGUUGCAAAAGAAGUAGGUAGCUUAACCUUCGGGAGGGCGCUUACCACUUUGUGAUUCAUGACUGGGGUGAAGUCGUAACAAGGUAACCGUAGGGGAACCUGC